This 450-nucleotide ribosomal RNA is filed under the name uncultured organism. RNAcentral describes it as "partial 16S ribosomal RNA". It matches the Rfam family "Bacterial small subunit ribosomal RNA", at positions 331 to 797 of the family's 1533-position model. The record is from RNAcentral.
GUACACUCCUACGGGAGGCAGCAGUGGGGAAUAUUGGACAAUGGGCGCAAGCCUGAUCCAGCCAUGCCGCGUGAGUGAUGAAGGCCCUAGGGUUGUAAAGCUCUUUCACCGGUGAAGAUAAUGACGGUAACCGGAGAAGAAGCCCCGGCUAACUUCGUGCCAGCAGCCGCGGUAAUACGAAGGGGGCUAGCGUUGUUCGGAUUUACUGGGCGUAAAGCGCACGUAGGCGGACUAUUAAGUCAGGGGUGAAAUCCCGGGGCUCAACCCCGGAACUGCCUUUGAUACUGGUAGUCUUGAGUUCGAGAGAGGUGAGUGGAAUUCCGAGUGUAGAGGUGAAAUUCGUAGAUAUUCGGAGGAACACCAGUGGCGAAGGCGGCUCACUGGCUCGAUACUGACGCUGAGGUGCGAAAGCGUGGGGAGCAAACAGGAUUAGAUACCCUUGUAGUCCCA